This 432-nucleotide ribosomal RNA is filed under the name Sulfitobacter pontiacus. RNAcentral describes it as "bacterial SSU rRNA". It matches the Rfam family "Bacterial small subunit ribosomal RNA", at positions 20 to 500 of the family's 1533-position model. Lineage: Bacteria; Pseudomonadati; Pseudomonadota; Alphaproteobacteria; Rhodobacterales; Roseobacteraceae. The record is from RNAcentral.
UGGCUCAGAACGAACGCUGGCGGCAGGCCUAACACAUGCAAGUCGAGCGCACCUUCGGGUGAGCGGCGGACGGGUUAGUAACGCGUGGGAACAUACCCUUUUCUACGGAAUAGCCUCGGGAAACUGAGAGUAAUACCGUAUAAGCCCUUCGGGGGAAAGAUUUAUCGGGAAAGGAUUGGCCCGCGUUAGAUUAGAUAGUUGGUGGGGUAAUGGCCUACCAAGUCUACGAUCUAUAGCUGGUUUUAGAGGAUGAUCAGCAACACUGGGACUGAGACACGGCCCAGACUCCUACGGGAGGCAGCAGUGGGGAAUNUUAGACAAUGGGCGCAAGCCUGAUCUAGCCAUGCCGCGUGUGUGAUGAAGGUCUUAGGAUCGUAAAGCACUUUCGCCAGGGAUGAUAAUGACAGUACCUGGUAAAGAAACCCCGGCUAA